Molecule: unclassified non-coding RNA, 130 nt
Filed under: Fusarium oxysporum
Lineage: Eukaryota; Fungi; Ascomycota; Sordariomycetes; Hypocreales; Nectriaceae
Description: 5.8S ribosomal RNA
Rfam family: 5.8S ribosomal RNA (bases 1-114)
About the family: 5.8S ribosomal RNA (5.8S rRNA) is a component of the large subunit of the eukaryotic ribosome. It is transcribed by RNA polymerase I as part of the 45S precursor that also contains 18S and 28S rRNA. Functionally, it is thought that 5.8S rRNA may be involved in ribosome translocation.
Source: RNAcentral
AACGCAGCAAAAUGCUGAUAAGUAAUGUGAAUUGCAGAAUUCAGUGAAUCAUCGAAUCUUUGAACGCACAUUGCGCCCGCCAGUAUUCUGGCGGGCAUGCCUGUUCGAGCGUCAUUUCAACCCUCAAGCC